ACGGGAGGCAGCAGUGGGGAAUAUUGCACAAUGGGCGAAAGCCUGAUGCAGCGACGCCGCGUGAGUGAAGAAGUUAUUCGUAAUGUAAAGCUCUAUCAGCAGGGAAGAAAAUGACGGUACCUGACUAAGAAGCCCCGGCUAACUACGUGCCAGCAGCCGCGGUAAUACGUAGGGGGCAAGCGUUAUCCGGAUUUACUGGGUGUAAAGGGAGCGUAGACGGCAAAGCAAGUCUGAAGUGAAAUCCCGGGGCUCAACCCUGGAACUGCUUUGGAAACUGUUUAGCUAGAGUGCAGGAGAGGUAAGUGGAAUUCCUAGUGUAGCGGUGAAAUGCGUAGAUAUUAGGAGGAACACCAGUGGCGAAGGCGGCUUACUGGACUGUAACUGACGUUGAGGCUCGAAAGCGUGGGGAGCAAACAGGAUUAGAUACCCUGGUA
RNAcentral lists this ribosomal RNA (434 nucleotides) under uncultured Clostridium sp. RNAcentral's name for it is "partial 16S ribosomal RNA". It matches the Rfam family "Bacterial small subunit ribosomal RNA", at positions 341 to 792 of the family's 1533-position model. The record is from RNAcentral. Lineage: Bacteria; Bacillati; Bacillota; Clostridia; Eubacteriales; Clostridiaceae.